UUUUAUAUAGUUUAAAUAAAAACAUUAUAUUUUCAAUAUAAAAUUAAUUAAACUUUAAUUUAUAAAAA
This 68-nucleotide transfer RNA is filed under the name Wiebesia pumilae. RNAcentral describes it as "tRNA-Glu". The record is from RNAcentral. Lineage: Eukaryota; Metazoa; Arthropoda; Insecta; Hymenoptera; Agaonidae.